AGAGUGAAUGGGGAGGGGGGAGAAACAGAGACAGACAUGGAGAGAACAGCUGACCUGCUCGCACAGGAAAUCCCACCCCACUCUGAGCCCAGCCCUCUGUGACUGAGUGGGGAGCAGCCGGCUUAAGGGUAGAGCUGCAGGAUGGUUACUGUUAUACUCAGAGUCUGUCAUAUCAUUCCACACACAGGUCUCCUGAAGUGGCUGCAGCUCCUUAUGCAGAUCUCGUAGAGCAGGAAAGAGACAUCCGGGAUGAUGCAGCGGCAAGAUACUAAGAAGGGAGGGCUGGACUGGUGGACCGGCAGGACCAGACCAAUCGACCGCUGGGAAGUACACAAGAAGUCACACAAAAUUACAAACAUCUGGGAGAUCCUACAUUGAUUAUCUUCAUACAACAUACCAGUGAUUCAACACUAAUGGCAUACGUAUAAUGAAUCCAUUCUCUGAACGAAACCUACACUCAUCCUGUAAGGUUUCAGCCUAGAAUUAAUGAUCACUACUUUCAGGUCACAC
This is a long non-coding RNA of Pseudophryne corroboree (corroboree frog), 510 nucleotides long. RefSeq lists it as uncharacterized. The transcript is spliced from 3 exons. The record is from RefSeq and is a predicted model, not a curated record. Lineage: Eukaryota; Metazoa; Chordata; Amphibia; Anura; Myobatrachidae.